This is a long non-coding RNA of Rana temporaria (common frog), 282 nucleotides long. RefSeq lists it as uncharacterized. The record is from RefSeq and is a predicted model, not a curated record. NCBI's taxonomy places the organism in Eukaryota, Metazoa, Chordata, Amphibia, Anura, Ranidae. The transcript is spliced from 3 exons.
AUUCCACACAGGAAGGUCAGACCAUCCCUCACCAUCAUCAGGGUGAAGAACUGAAAGACAUCAAAGCCGAGAUUAAAGAAGAAGAGAUGUUCAUGAGUGGAGAUCAGCAGUCUAUGGGAGAGGGAGGUCCUCUGUAUUCCCGGGAUUCCACACAGGAAGAUCACAACAUCCCUCACCAUCAUCAGGGUGAAGAAUUGAAAGACCUAAAAGUUGAGGUUAAAGCGGAAGGGACAUUGAUAAAGGGAGAUCAGCAGUCUAUGGAGGAGGGAGGUCCUCUGUAUU